This 429-nucleotide ribosomal RNA is filed under the name uncultured bacterium. RNAcentral's name for it is "bacterial SSU rRNA". It matches the Rfam family "Bacterial small subunit ribosomal RNA", at positions 355 to 775 of the family's 1533-position model. The record is from RNAcentral.
UGGGGAAUAUUGGACAAUGGGCGAAAGCCUGAUCCAGCGACGCCGCGUGGGUGAUGAAGGCCUUCGGGUUGUAAAGCCCUGUGGGAGGGGAAGAAAACGGCGGGUUCUAAUAGGUCUCGCCCUUGACGGUACCUUCUCAGAAAGCACCGGCUAACUCUGUGCCAGCAGCCGCGGUAAGACAGAGGGUGCAAACGUUGCUCGGAAUUACUGGGCGUAAAGCGCGUGUAGGCGGACCGGCGUGUCGGAUGUGAAAUCCCUGGGCUCAACCCAGGAACUGCAUUCGAAACUGCCGGUCUAGAGUGGUGGAGAGGGAAGUGGAAUUCCUGGUGUAGAGGUGAAAUUCGUAGAUAUCAGGAGGAACACCAGUGGCGAAGGCGGCUUCCUGGACACCAACUGACGCUGAGACGCGAAAGCGUGGGGAGCAAACAG